This 491-nucleotide ribosomal RNA is filed under the name uncultured bacterium. Its description in RNAcentral is "partial 16S ribosomal RNA". It matches the Rfam family "Bacterial small subunit ribosomal RNA", at positions 29 to 506 of the family's 1533-position model. The record is from RNAcentral.
AGUGAACGCUGGCGGUAGGCCUAACACAUGCAAGUCGAAUGGCAGCACAGUAAGAGCUUGCUCUUACGGGUGGCGAGUGGCGGACGGGUGAGGAAUACAUCGGAAUCUACUUUUUCGUGGGGGAUAACGUAGGGAAACUUACGCUAAUACCGCAUACGACCUACGGGUGAAAGCAGGGGAUCUUCGGACCUUGCGCGAUUGAAUGAGCCGAUGUCGGAUUAGCUAGUUGGCGGGGUAAAGGCCCACCAAGGCGACGAUCCGUAGCUGGUCUGAGAGGAUGAUCAGCCACACUGGAACUGAGACACGGUCCAGACUCCUACGGGAGGCAGCAGUGGGGAAUAUUGGACAAUGGGCGCAAGCCUGAUCCAGCCAUACCGCGUGGGUGAAGAAGGCCUGCGGGUUGUAAAGCCCUUUUGUUGGGAAAGAAAAGCAGCAGGUUAAUACCCCGCUGUUCUGACGGUACCCAAAGAAUAAGCACCGGCUAACUUCGU